GACGAACGCUGGCGGCGUGCUUAACACAUGCAAGUCGAACGGAAAGGCCCUGCUUUUGUGGGGUGCUCGAGUGGCGAACGGGUGAGUAACACGUGAGUAACCUGCCCUUGACUUUGGGAUAACUUCAGGAAACUGGGGCUAAUACCGGAUAGGAGCUCCUGCUGCAUGGUGGGGGUUGGAAAGUUUCGGCGGUUGGGGAUGGACUCGCGGCUUAUCAGCUUGUUGGUGGGGUAGUGGCUUACCAAGGCUUUGACGGGUAGCCGGCCUGGGAGGGUGACCGGCCACAUUGGGACUGCGAUACGGCCCAGAAUCCUACGGGAGGCAGCAGUGGGGAAUAUUGCACAGUGGGCGGAAGCCUGAUGCAGCAACGCCGCGUGCGGAAUGACGGCCUACGGGUUGUAAACCGCUUUCGCCUGAGACGAAGCGUGAGUGACGGUAAUGGGUAAAGAAGCACCGGCUAACUACGUG
This 468-nucleotide ribosomal RNA is filed under the name uncultured bacterium. RNAcentral describes it as "partial 16S ribosomal RNA". It matches the Rfam family "Bacterial small subunit ribosomal RNA", at positions 28 to 507 of the family's 1533-position model. The record is from RNAcentral.